CAAUUUGACCGCUCUUACCCAUGAUUUACCUCUUCUAAGAAAUAAUAUCAAAGAAAAACAUAACGCUAUGUCUACGAACAUUUAUCGAAAAAAGUCAUUUGCCUGCAAAUAACUGAAAUAAAUUAAAAAAUUUGCACCCCUAAUCAAGCUGCGCCCAUGGCGAAUGCCACUUUCUCCAAGCCCUAGUUACGGCCCUAUUUAUAACAAUAUCUUCAGAAAAUUCCUGGCAUUAGUUUCGCGCAAUUCGUUCCUCGAUAAGAAAAUUCAUCAAAAACAGUACAAAAAAUUGCUCGAAUAUAUGUGCUAUUCAUUACCGAUGCUAAGAACCACAUUAAUUUUUAUACUUCUAUGCAGAAUUAUCAUUAUUCAAAUAUUACUAUUAGAAUAAUCACUUAUCGGAACUUCUAGUCGUAAUUAUUAAACUGAAUAUUAAGACAAAAAUUUGUUAACAUAAUCUUAAAAGUAAUUAAUUAGUUUUAGCCGGAUUUUGUAAGAAAUUAC
RNAcentral lists this long non-coding RNA (501 nucleotides) under Androctonus crassicauda. Lineage: Eukaryota; Metazoa; Arthropoda; Arachnida; Scorpiones; Buthidae. The record is from RNAcentral.